This 351-nucleotide ribosomal RNA is filed under the name Clostridioides difficile. Its description in RNAcentral is "partial 23S ribosomal RNA". It matches the Rfam family "Bacterial large subunit ribosomal RNA", at positions 2072 to 2421 of the family's 2925-position model. The record is from RNAcentral. Lineage: Bacteria; Bacillati; Bacillota; Clostridia; Peptostreptococcales; Peptostreptococcaceae.
GCGACAGGACGGAAAGACCCCAUGGAGCUUUACUGUAGCUUGACAUUGGGUCUUGGUACUACAUGUACAGGAUAGGUGGGAGGCUUUGAAACCAGGACGCCAGUUUUGGCGGAGCCAUCCUUGGGAUACCACCCUUGUAGUACUGGGACUCUAACCAUAGGCCAUGAAUCUGGUCUUGGGACACUGUCAGGUGGGCAGUUUGACUGGGGCGGUCGCCUCCCAAAAGGUAACGGAGGCGCUCAAAGGUUCUCUCAGUACGGUCGGAAAUCGUACGUAGAGUGUAAAGGCAAAAGAGAGCUUGAUUGCAAGACAUACAGGUCGAGCAAGGAUGAAAAUCGGACUUAGUGAUCC